GGAGAAGUACGCCCUCGACUGCGAUGUCAUCAUCUCCGUGACAAUGUAGCUCCUCCCGAGCCCUUGCAACCAACUCACUAAACGAGGGCUUCUCAUCGAAUAUCACAACCUCGCAUUGCAUGACAACAAACUUAACACAUCCAUAGUCAUCCCUUUCCACAGUGCCUCCAUGAUAUAUGCUCACUACGUUAUCCAUCUAGUACAUCAACAUAACGACGCACAAUUCAUUUAGUCCAUAAUAAAUGAAGCAUUCUAAGUACAAGGUCUCUAGUAUGAAAUGAGAUACUAUCAAUUCACUACUAACUACUAAAUACUACUAACUAACUAUGUCAGCUAAUAUGUACCUAAGUAUAUAACUACUUAACUAAAUAUAGCUAUAUAUCUAACUACGUAAACAAAAUUACAUACGAAGAAAAUUCUAUCUAACUAUCAAUUUAUCUAUCUAACUAUUUUAUCUAACAAUUCUACCUACCUAUCUAAACUAAACUGUACCUAACAAUUCUAUCUUCUUAUCUAGGGUUUAUCUAUCUAACUAAUCAAUUCUAUCUAACUAUCAAGUUAUCUAUCUAACUAUUUUAUCUAACAAUUCUACCUACCUAUCUAAAUUCUACCUAACUAUUCUAUCUUCUUAUCUAUUUAUCUAUCUAACUAAUCAAUCUAUCUAACUAUUCUACUAACUACCUAACUAUUCUACUAACUAACUAUUCUUACCUAACUCACUGCAGGGGAUGGCGCACACGGCAUCCACCGGCAGGGGACGGCGCACACGGCAUCCACCGGCAGGGGAGGGCGCACACGGCAUCCAUCGGCAGCCAGGGGUGGGGGCGGGCGGCCACUGGCGGGCGCCUAGGGG
Molecule: long non-coding RNA, 853 nt
Filed under: Setaria viridis
Lineage: Eukaryota; Viridiplantae; Streptophyta; Magnoliopsida; Poales; Poaceae
Description: long non-coding RNA (SVIR_LNC001123)
Source: RNAcentral